Long non-coding RNA from Brassica napus (rape), 9999 nucleotides. RefSeq lists it as uncharacterized. Lineage: Eukaryota; Viridiplantae; Streptophyta; Magnoliopsida; Brassicales; Brassicaceae. The transcript is spliced from 2 exons. The record is from RefSeq and is a predicted model, not a curated record.
AUCCGUUGGUAGACUUGGGGCAAAGUUGGGGACUGUAGUGGUGAAAUGGUAGAGAAGGCGAUUUGGAGGCUAUGUGGACAUUGUUUCAACAAAGUCCUUUCCUUUUCACACAAAGGACAUUGUUACCAUACUUGGAUCGAGUUUGUUUAAGAUAGUGUUUGUGAGAUAUGGUUUAAAUCUUUUUGCUAAGCUGUUGGAUUAUCUUUGUCACUGUUUUUUUGGGUCAAAUCUUUGCCAGAGGUUUAGAUAUGUUUAUGUUCAUAAAUGUGGUGUCAUUCUUGUAAAUUGAUAGUAACUGAAUCCGAGCUGCGAUCAUAUAGGUCACUUGCAACGAAGAUUUCAUUUUGGCUGAGUAACUAAAUGUCUUCGCUUUAUGGUUUGAGCUUGUGUUUCUCGUGUUUGUUAGAUUUGAUUUACUAAUAGAUUUGGAAAGGAUCAACAAAAUAUCCUCGCAUUAUUCGCAAUGGAGUAGGAACAAAGCUGAUAAAGAAGUUGACAAAGAAUCUGAGGAUGCAGAGGAAUAGAAAUAAGGAUAGAACAGAAGGUUCAAAGGCUUGGAAUAUAGUGAUUCUGUGUUAAUUAAUAAUUUAAAAGUGUAAUUUAAGAAUAGUGUGCAGAAAAAUUUGUUAUGUUUGUUGCAAAACGAGUUUGGAUAUUUUGAAUGUGACUGAAUGUCAUAUAGAGUGUGAUUGGUUAUCAACCAGAGUAAAUGGUGAAAAAAUAUGGUGGAAAUACGAGGGAUAAAAAAUAAUAAAAUUGGAGGAAGCUUUAUCUUCUCAUUAAUAGUUGGGUAGGAUUUAUAGUUAAAUGAGAUGAAACAAUAUUCCACGAUUAGAUGAAAGUAGAGUAAAUUUGCUGAAAUAAUUUUUUACUUUAAUUUAUUCUAACUCUAUCAUAGUCAUACCCAUAACGUGAAUAUUUAAAGAAAAAAAUAUUAACUCUUCGUGGUAAAACCAAAAAUUUGAACUACUAAGUUUGAUAGGUAUUAUUAAGAGGACAAAAAAAAUUGUCUAAAACGUGUUAAAAAUUUUCAACAAGAAAAAAAUUGUCUAAAACAAGUUUAAAAAUUUCAACUUGAAAAAACAUUUUUGAAUAUUUACACUUAGUAAUACUCAAGGCGGUAGUAAUAUUUCCUUAUUCAUAGUAAUACUUUUACAAAUUACAAUAAUUUUUAGUAAUACCACAUCAAAAAACCAUUUUAGUGUCAAAACCACAUUAUUUUAGUGUAAUUUCAACACUAAAACCAAGGUCUUCUCCAACCAUAACAGUAAACUUCAGACUAAAACUAUUUUAAAAUAUUAUAUGUAUUAAGUUUUUUAUUUAUCAUUUAUUCAAUUGUAUGUUUUAGUAAUAAAACAAGUGAAUAGUGUUUUAGUGGGAUGAAUAGUAUUUUAGUGUGGUGAAUAGUAUCACACCAAAUUUGGUGUCAAAUUUUAGUGUUGCACUAAAAUGGUGUGAUUUUUGCAGCUCCAUUGGAGAGGAUUUGGUGUAAAAAUCUUAUUAAAAUAGUGUUUUGCAGUUGAGUUGGAGAUGACCUUAGUAUGGUCUUCUCUUCAAGACCUUAGUAUGAAAGUAUAAUGAUGUUUUCUAUGGAAAUGAGAUAUUUUCUAUCAACUUGAGAAAUUAAGAGUAUUUUAUGUCAAUUUGACAAAUAAACACAUAUAUUGACAUAUAAUUACGCAAUAUAUGAGAUAUACCUUCUAAAAUAAAUAAUAAGACAAAAAUUAAGGUUCUUAGAAACAUGGAUAAUACAUAGUAAUUCAAGGUAUUUUAAGGUAGUUCAAGGUAGUUCACAGUAGUACCUUAUAUAGUCCAUUAGCAGUCAUCCUUUUUCUUCUCGAUGCUUGUUCGAAUACAAUAUCAUUGGAAAGUAACUAAUAUUCAGCAUCCCAUCUACCUUAAUAUUUCUGCAUAUACUCUCAACCAAUUCAUAAUAUGUAAACUCUUCCACAGAUGUCUUCAUCACUAAAGUGUGAAUUUAUCUUCUCCCAAAAUUCAUUUUAUCUCAGCCUCAUCUUUGAUGUAAGUUUUCCCGUAGUCAAAACAUAUGAUAUAUGAGAAACCAUAGAUUUCCCUUAAAAACUAAAAUUAUUAUUAGUUAACUAUUUAAACAAUCUAAGUUGUUCAAAAACUUUAAUACAUAGUCGAUCCAGUAAUACUAGUAAUACACGUUUCACUUUAGCAGUACUAGUAAUUCUAGUAAUUCCUAAAAAAUUUCAUUUUCAUCGAUUUAACCUUUUUAAAUGAUCAUAAGGGUGUUAUACAAUCCACAAUAUCGUUUACCAACACUGUAAUGUAUUAUUUUGCUUCAAAACAGUGCAAAAUAAGCAGAAAUAUACAAAAUAGUCUUUAAACAUCAUUUCAUAUUUGUUUUAUACCAAUAUACCUAAAACUUUAGCUUUUCAUUAGUUUACGUGUUUUUAAAUGACCAAGAACGUGUUACAAAAUCCAAAUGAUCGUCUAACACCAUUUUAAUAUAUUUUUUCGUCAUAACGAUGUUAAAUACAAAGAAAUAUACAUAAUCUUCUUUAAAUUUUAUUUACAUAUUUCUUUAGAACCCCAGAUUUUUAAAACUAAUCUUUGAUAUUUUCGUUACCCUUAAUAUAUACAACGUAAAUAAUACAUUCCUACAAAAAAAAUUUAUUAAAAAAUGUACCAAAUUACUUUAAUAAUCAAUUUCGAAAUCACCAAAUGGAGCUCAUAAAAAAAUGUCGAAUAUCUUGGAGAAUUAAAAAAAAAAAAAGAUAGACACGUGUUAGGGGGAAAAAUGACGUCUGAGAGUGGAAACCCUAAGUAGAUUCUGGUUAAUGCAUCAGUUUUAUGAGAAAGGGGUCCACCUAGAAUUAAAAUAAUGAAACAAAAUGGGGUGGGCAAGAGAGAGACGUAGGGUCUGCGUAGGAUUAAAAUAAUGAAACAAAAUGGUGUGAGGAAGAGAGAGAGACGUGGGGUCCGCGAGUAAAAGAAAGAAGCUUGGGAUCCGCGUAAUAAAUAAAAACUAAUAUAAAAAGAAAGGUAAUAGAGGAAAGAGAAAAAUAGUGGGAUAGUGAGAAAAAUUGUUGGAUAGCGAGAAUAAAUUUUUUCCAAUUUGGACAUAUAAGAAUACUUUCCAAUUUUUAUCUAUCUAAAGACUUUUGAGAGACUGUCUUAACUCAUCUUUAAGCCUUUGGUUACUUUUUUUUUUCCCAUCCAACAAGCCUUUUUUAAGCUGUUAAGUAAUAAUCUCUUGAUCCUUUUUAAUAAUCUUUGACUUUAGACAUCUUUAAGCCGUUGGUAGUCUUAGUCGCUGUGUAGUCUUAGUAAUAAUCUCUUAGCCGUUGGUAGUCUUAGUAAUAAUCUCUUGAUCCUUUUUAAUAAUCUUUGUCUUCAAGAGCGUUUUCAUACUUUUGUCUUAAGCCGUUGGUCGUUUGUUUUUUCUCCAACAGAAAGUAAACCAAGCCAUUGUCUUUGUCGAAUGACUUUUUAAGCUGUGGGUUGUUGUUUCUCUACCCAAAAAAAGUACAGUACCAACUCAUAGUCUUUGUCUAGAGAUUUCAGAUAAUUUGACAUUCUUCCAUUGUCUAUGUAUUAAGAUGUGGUCAUUAUGUCCAUCCAACUCAUAGUCUUCAUAGCCUUGUGGUUAUCCAAGUAGAAAGCAGUUUGUUUACCCCUUGUGGUUCAUAGUCUUUCUCUUAACACAUCUUUAAGCCAUUGCUUUCUAUUUGAAGUUGUCUGGCAGAGUAAAGAAUUAAUUCUCCAUGUAUAUUCUCGUCACACUGUCUCAGUCAUGAUGAAUUUAUUUCGUUUGAGCCGUGGGUUUGUUUUCCAUCUAUAGUCUUUGUCUUGAAAUUUUUUAAAGCUAUUGGUUAUAAUACCAAAACCAAGCCACAGUCUUUUCAGAAGACACCUAAGCCAUGAGGUUAGGUAAGAACCUGUUGUCGAUUCAUAUUGUCAAGAAUCUUCUCCUUAUGAAUUUUUUUAAGCCGUUGGUCGUUUUAUCAAUACAGCAAGUCGUUAGUUGAUUUCUACCUUCCGACAAGUCUAUGGCAUAGACUUUCUCAAGAGACUUCUAAGCCGUGUGUUUAAAUAAAAAUCUGUGCUUGAUUCAUAAUCAUUUUCAAGCAUCUUUAAGCAGUUGGUUUCUUUUAAGCCGUUUGGGUAUCACUUUAUAUAGCAAGCGUAAGUUGUUUUAUCAUCCAACAAGUCUGUCUUAUGACUUCUUAAAGCUGUUUGUCAUUUUUCUUCAUCCAACAAAGUAUUCUCUCAGCCAUUAGUUGUUUUUAUUCAUCUGCUGACUUUCUUUUUCUAAGCCGCUGGGCAAUGUUUCCAUUCAUGAUCCAACAUAUCUAAAAAUGGACCCGUAUUGUCUUUUUUUUUAUUCACAAUCCUUGUUAAGAAUGUGUGUGUUAUGAUUCGUUAAGCUGUUGGCAGCCUUUGUCAAAAGACUUCCCAAAUCCAUUAGUUGUUCAUGUAUCAGCUCUGUCUUAAGGAUAAUUGCUCAUCCUUUCCAUCCACCAAAUUACAAACCAUCUCAUAGCAUUUGUCUUGAGAGCUUUUUCAGGCUUUGUUGUCUCAAGUCGUUGGUCGUUUUUCUUUACUCCAAGAAAUCCCAUCCAACACAUAGUAUUUUUAUACUUUUAAACCUUGUGGUUAUCGCAAAGACAUAGUCUUUGUUUCUAGACUUCAUCAAGCUGUUGGUCAUUUUUUUAACUUUUCCAUCCAACAGGUCUUCUUUUGCUGGUCAUUUUCCAUCCAGCAUAUCUAAAGCUGUAGGUCGUUUUCUUUCCAUCCAACAAAUUUUAAACCAACCCAGCCACCUCGUAGUGUUUGUCUAGUUUAAGUCUUGUGGUUAUCGCAAAGACAUAGAUCUUUAAGCCGUGUGGUUCAGAGUCGUUGUCUUAAGACAUCUUUAAGCUGUUGGUCGUUUUUUCCAAUCCAACGAGUCCUAUUUAAGCCAUUAGGCAUUUUUCUAAGCCGUGGGUCUUAAUGCUAUCAAGCCAUGCACUACCAACCAAUAGAUUCCAAGUCUUAUUUUCCAUCGCCAUAACAUCUUUCUUUAACAAUGCACUACCAACCAAGGGAUUCCUUACGGGACAGUGUACCAAAGUAAAAUCGGACAGUGUACCAGAUGAUCUUUUUGAAUUUCAAAGUGCACAGACAUCGAAUAGAACUGAUCUAGUGUGUUUGACUUUGUCCUCGUUUGAAUUCCAUCCUCAAAAAGACAGAAAUUUUAAAAACAAAAAAAAAAACUUGCAUUUUAGUUUCAUAGACAGAAAUUACCUUGGAGACGAUGGUCUGAGGCAGAGUAAGCUGCCAGGUAUAUGAAGAAGUAACUCUGGCAGAAAAAAAAAAGGGCGGUGAGUUUCCUCUUGCAAGCGAUACUAAAUAUCACCUGUUCAAACCAAAAACCUUGUUCAGAAACUAACCACUCUGACUUGUAUGACAUAAUUUAUACAAGAGAAUGAAUUUGACAGAUUGUACAACGCUUAGUUUUCAAAACGAAAACGGGCAAAAAAAACCUAAACCAAAAUCACUGCAAAAAAUUAUAGUUUGAACAAUGAGUAAUAUGAAAACGCUAAAUCGAAAUCACGAAACACACAAACCUUACAAAACCCCAAUUAACAUAUACAGAGACGUAACUCCACGACGAGUGAGAAACCCAAACAAUCACAUCGGGUUUCAGGCGGAAUCAAGCUUCAAAAGAAAACCAAACCAAUCUAAUCAAGAUCUCUCGAACAAGAAGAAGAAAAGAUCGAACAAUUCAGGAAAUUUGCGAACCCAUAAUCAAUUUCGCGAAUCAAAUAGUACUCUAAGCUUUAAAUUCCUAAAACAGAUUCACGAUUUAAAGAUAACGAAACACUUACUAAUCUAAGAUUGCAAUCGGAUUUUCCGGUUUCGCAAAUCUUCGAAAGAGAGCAUUCUUCCCCGGAAUUUUUUUCGUAAACAAUGUGGAAAUAACAAACACACGACAACAUUAUCAAUGGCAACUCUUAGCGAACAUCUUAGAAUAUUUAAUGACUAUUUUUAGUCUAAGAAGUUUUGUAAGAUACUUAACUAAAAUAUUACAUUAUCAAUAGAACUUUUCGAAGGUUCUUAGGUAAAAAAUAUUAUUUUUAUUUAUAAAUAGUAAUUAAGAUAUAUCCAUUUAUAUUCAAUACAUUAAAAAAAACUUUUUAUUUCAUUAAAUUAAAAUUACAAACAUUUUAUUACAUUCCAUUUAAAAAAAAAAUUAAAAAUAAUAGCCAAUACACAUUUUAUUCAAUUCACAGAAACUUAAACAUCAUUGGUUAUUUGGAAGAUGUCCAAAUUUAGCCCAAAUAUUUUCAAUCAAAUCGAAUUUUAAUUGUUCAUGGCUUGUCUGUUAUGAACGCUCGAUCGACGAUCCAUUGCAGUGCCGAGAUUUGAAUUCGAAGUAACGGUGAAUGUAUCCUCUUCUUCGCUUUCUUGAAAUUCUCUCUCGUUAUACUGAGUGAAUGUUGAACGUUCAUCCUCGACAAUCAUAUUAUGGAGUAUGAUGCAUGCUUUCAUAAUAUUUGCUAUUUUUUCUUUAUCCCAUAACUUAGAUGGAUUUUUCACUACGGCAAAUCUAGCUUGUAGAACUCCGAAGGCACGCUCCACAUCUUUUCGAAUAGCUUCUUGGGUUUUAGCAAAUAACGAAUGUUUCUCACUUUGUGGAAGUCGGAUAGAUUGAAUAAAAGUCGCACAUUUCGGAUAAAUACCAUCAGUGAGAUAAUAUGCCAAAUGGUAUGGAUUACCAUUAACAUAGAAGUUCACUUGUGGCACUAUUCCGUUAAUAAUGUCAUCAAAAACGGGUGAUCGAUCGAGAAUAUUAAGAUCGUUCAUAGUACCUGGAGCUCCAAAAAAUGCGUGUCAUAUCCAGAGGUCACUUGAAGCUACCGCCUCCAAAACAAUUGUUGGUUUUUCGGUUCCUCGUGAAUACAUUCCUUUCCAAGCAAUGGGGCAAUUCUUCCACUCCCAAUGCAUACAGUCGAUGCUGCCAACUAUCCCCGGAAAUCCACAUUGUUCUCCUAUAUAGAGAAGUCUUUGCAGAUCCUCAUGUGUGGGACGGCGGAGGUAUUCAUCACCAAACAAGCUGAUUAUUCCGGCGGUAAAAUUGUGCAAACAUUUCCGAGCUGUCGUUUCAGCAAGCCGGACAUACUCAUCAAGUGAAUCAGCUGCACCGCCAUAUGCCAACUGUCGAAUUGUUGCAGUACAUUUUUGUAGGGGUGUUAGACUAGACCGUCCGGUACAAUCUUUGCCUUGUUGAAAAUACGGUAUGUUGGUUGUGAGACGAUUCACAAUACGCACGAACAAUGAUUUGUUCAUUCGAAACCGUCGUCGGAAUAAUUGAACAUUAUAAGUUGGAGUCUUGCAAAGUAAUCAUUCCAGAGCAUCUGGUGGCCGUCUUCUCGGUGCCUCUCCAUAUAAAUACGUUACUUCCGCUCUUUUGGUUCUUCAUCAAAGUUUUGAACGUAAUCAUUAACAUAAUCUUCAACGGAAUCAUUAACAUAAUCUUCAUCAUCGUCAUCGUUAUGGUAGUGAUAAUGAGAAGAAGAUGCCAUUAGAGUUUUUUUACAUUUAAAAUGAAGAGUUGAUGAAAGGGGAGGGAUGUCUUUAAAUUGCCAAUGAUCUUUCAUAUUUAUAGGGGCAAAUAAGCUCUUCUUGUGAUACAACUUGUGAAUGUAUAUUGUGUUCUCGUGAUACAACUUGUGAAUGUAUAUUAUUUUGUUGUGGAAGUAAAAAACAACUCAUGUGACUCUUACACCUUUGAAUUAUUAUGUUGUACCUUUGAAUUAUUAUGUUGUUUAAAGUGGUUCACGAGACAAGUAGUUGUUGUUUCAAAGUCACAUUUUAAUUAUUUUUAUGUGAACGAGUGAAGUAGUUGUUGCACAGUUGGCUUACAAAUUCGAUAUCAAUAAGUUAAUUAUACAAGUGAUUGAAUCGAACAAUAUACAUGGAGUGGAGGCAUAAACAAUUAACUAUGGAGGAAUAAACAAUUAACUAACAAAAAAGUGCAUUACACGAACCCUUACAUUUAAUUCAUUACAAUACAACACAUUUGUAAUUCAUAAAGUUCAUAACAAUACAACACAAUAGUACAUAGUCUCAUAAGGGUUAACAGCAUUAGUACGACUAAGAAAAAGAGCAUGACACCAACACAAAAUUCCUAAACCAGACCUAGUAAUGCUGUUAACACCAACAUCACUUCCCUCCGAUCACCAGACCAAGUACCACUAAUACAAAGAGCAUGACACCAACACAAACUUCAAACUCAAUUUUUAAAGUAAACGACUUCUUUGCCAAGUCAGAAACUAAGUUUUCUAGCCUAACCACCUUUUCCUCAGACUCAGAGUUACUCAUUAAGGUAAGGUUAUCUACCUUUUCCUCCAGCUGCAGAAUGUGUUUAUCCCUUGCCCUCAUCUCCUCCAUCACCGCGACGUCCCAAAACUUCCAGACAUGGCAAUCGCCAUCAUCCACAUUCUUGCAGGUGUAUACCCUCCUCCCCGGAUCGUUUUUUGAUGUAGCUAGAAUUGGUGCAUCACCACAAUAGCAAACCUGGGGGAAUCCAAACUCCACCUCAGGUUGUGGAGGAUACUGCGUAGGGUACCGAGACGGCUCAGGAUACUUCAACUCCAACUCAGCUUGGUCACGACCAAUAAGCUCUUCUGUCUCGCUGUACCCACUAUCAGCUUGAUCCCCACCAUAGUGUGAUGAAUCUGAAGGAUGGCUGUAACUAUAUCGGCCCAUUUUUACGAAUUAAACCUGCAAAAAAAAAAAAUUGAAAGUAAGUCAAUAGUAGCCUUAAGAUGAUAGACAAGUAUAUCAAAUGUCGAAAAUACAUUUUUUUAAGAACUACCAAGCAGAAAAACAUUUAGGUAAAUACAUUUACUACACAUGGAAAGUCACAAACACAUACAUUAAGGAAAAUGCUACCAAACAGAAAUACAUUAAGGUACCAAUUAUGAAACAGCGAAUUCACCAACACAUUUCAUGAAAUACAAACAUAGUAACUAGUUCAGGAAAUACAAAUAGAUAUCUCAGCAACAGAUAGUCAGAAAUACUGAGCGAGCAGCUUGUUCUUGACAAUCUCUUCAGCCUCGCUUAGUGGUCCUGUCUUGGCUAACAGUGUGUCUAAAAUGGCAAGCUUUGACAGUCUCUCUUUCAUCUCCAUCACAGUAGUAACAUCAGCAAGAGACUUUCCUUGAACCUCCUUCCUUCUUGCUUUAGCCGUUUUGACACCUUCAGGCCGGACCUCUUCAUCACCAACAGUGGUGCUUGAGGUCACUGAACAUUCCUUGAGGUCACUGAACAUUCCUUGAGGUCACUGAACAUUCCUCUCCAGCAUGUGGAGUAGAUUCAUAGUACUCAGCAACACGUUUCCAGAACGUCCCUGAUUUUUGUUCAUUCCCAACCACUGCAUCCUUAGAUGUGUUGAGCCAAGCACUUAUGACGACCUCGUCAUCAGCUGGAGUCCAUUGCCUUCUCUCCUUAGAGGCAACUGCUGGGUCUUCACGUUCAGGUGGACCGUCAGGUUGUUGUGAACUAUAAGGAGGUAUCUCGAAUGGAUACUGAGUAGAAGGAUAACUUCCAUACUGAAAGUUUUGGCUAUGGAGAAGAUAGCUAUAACUAGGGGACUCACUAUAGGGAUUCAAUGGAUUCCUUGAAUCCAUUUCGAUUAGAAGGACAGGAAUAGAAAAGAAAGAUACGUGAGAGAAAGAAGAGAGUAAGGGAUAACCACAACAAGAAUUAAACUUGCUGCGGCUAUUUAAAGAAAUUUGAGAGAACAACCAUCAGAGAGCUUAAAUGUUUCUCUAACAAUCAACUACCAGGGUCUAAUCAAUAUUUAUUACUCGGAAAAUAAAGAAUCAAAGCAAACAAGUAAGUAAAUAUGAUACACAUUAGUUACUUAUACUCGUUACACAUAACUAAUCAAUAUUUAUUACUCCUUCGAAACUAACUACAAAACCAAGCAAACUAACUACAAAACUUUGCCAAGUAACACUCCUUCGAAACCAAACUAAG